GAGCAGGAGUGAGAAGAAGAGCCGCAAGGCAAUGAUUAAGCUUGGAAUGAAAGCUGUCCCUGGUGUCAGCAGGGUUACUAUAAAGAGAGCCAAAAAUGUUCUGUUUGUCAUCUCGAAGCCUGAUGUCUUCAAGAGCCCGAAUUCUGAGACGUAUGUGAUAUUUGGCGAGGCGAAGAUUGAAGACUUGAGCUCCCAGCUGCAGACGCAGGCGGCUCAGCAGUUCAGAAUGCCCAACCUCAGCAACUUCAUGGGGAAGACUGAUGCGCUGGCAGCUGCACCAGUUGAUGAGGACGAGGAGGAUAUCGAUGAGACGGGAGUGGAGCCCAAAGACAUUGAGCUUGUCAUGACCCAGGCUGGUGUGUUGAAAGGAAAGGCAGUCAGAGCUCUAAAAAAUAAUGGAGGCGACAUUGUU
Molecule: unclassified non-coding RNA, 412 nt
Filed under: Hevea brasiliensis (rubber tree)
Lineage: Eukaryota; Viridiplantae; Streptophyta; Magnoliopsida; Malpighiales; Euphorbiaceae
Source: RNAcentral